RNAcentral lists this ribosomal RNA (486 nucleotides) under uncultured bacterium. RNAcentral describes it as "partial 16S ribosomal RNA". It matches the Rfam family "Bacterial small subunit ribosomal RNA", at positions 28 to 507 of the family's 1533-position model. The record is from RNAcentral.
GAUGAACGCUGGCGGCGUGCCUAAUACAUGCAAGUCGAACGCUGGAGCUCUAGCUUGCUAGAUCGAAGGAGUGGCGAACGGGUGAGUAAUACAUAAGCAACCUACCCACGAAGACUGGGAUAAUCCCUGGAAACGGGGACAAUAACGGGUAAGGUAAUCGGAAGCCUUCUGCUGGUUAUUAAGGGUCAAAAACACUGGUGGAUGGGGUUAUGGCGCAUUAGUUAGUUGGUGAGGUAACGGCCCACCAAGACGACGAUGCGUAGCCGGCCUGAGAGGGUGAACGGCGACAUGGGGACUGAGACACGGCCCAGACACCUACGGGAGGCAGCAGUAGGGAAGUCUCGGCAAGGGGGGCAACCCUGACCGAGCAACGCCGCGUGAGUGAAGACGGCCUUCGGGUUGUAAAGCUCUGUUGUAAGGGAAGAACGGUAGAUAGAGAAUAUCUAAGUGACGGUACCUGACCAGAAAGCCACGGCUAACUACGUG